Molecule: long non-coding RNA, 7869 nt
Filed under: Salvia miltiorrhiza (redroot sage)
Lineage: Eukaryota; Viridiplantae; Streptophyta; Magnoliopsida; Lamiales; Lamiaceae
Description: long non-coding RNA (SMIL_LNC004678)
Source: RNAcentral
UUAUAGUGUAAAUUGAGAAUGAGCACCACAAAGUUAUUUACCUAUUGUUUCUAGUUCAGUAGCUCACUGUCUCAAUUUCAGAACGCAGGGAUUUCUGGCUCUGUUUACGGGCGACACUGGCGAAAUCCGUGCAGAAGUUAGGGAACAAAUCGACACAAAGGUAGCAGAGUGGAGAGAGGAAGGAAAAGCAGAAAUCAUACCGGGUGUCCUCUUCAUUGACGAAGUACACAUGCUCGACAUCGAGUGCUUCUCGUUUCUGAAUCGUGCAUUGGAGAACGACAUGGCGCCUAUACUAGUGGUGGCCACCAACAGGGGAAUCACUUCCAUCAGGGGCACGAACUACAGAUCCCCACACGGCAUCCCAAUUGAUUUUCUCGACCGCCUGCUCAUCAUCUCCACGCAGCCCUACACAGCAGAGGACAUUCGGAAGAUCUUGGACAUCAGAUGCCAAGAGGAAGACGUGGAGAUGUCCGAAGACGCUAAGGUGCUGCUCACAAAGAUCGGUGAAGACACGUCGCUGAGAUACGCGAUAAAUCUCAUCACCUCUGCCGCGCUGUCGUGCCUGAAGAGGAAGGGGAAGGUUGUGGAGAUGGAAGAUAUAAGCCGCGUGUACGAGCUCUUCUACGACGUGAAGAGGUCGACGCAGUACUUGAUGGAAUAUCAAAGCCAGUAUAUGUUCAGUGAGGUGGGAACAGGAGAGGGAUACGAAGAGGAUGAAGCCAAUGCAAUGGUUGCAUAAAGAGUCUUGGUUUUUUUAAACACAAAAUGGUAUAUUUGUGUUCUUCAAUUAUGGAAAUGUUAAUUCUACUGGUAGUGAAUCUUUUGUAGCAGUCAUUUUUGUGCUUCAAAUUUGUAGGCUUUUGCUGCGUGUUGUUUUCAUUGGAAUAUUAUGUUAUUUUGAAGGGCAUGUGUAACCAUGAUUUGCUUAAAAUUAAAAUCUCAAAAAUCAUCUUUGGUGAAGUUUUCUUACUCAUAUCAAGUAUUAUUUAUUUAUUUAUUUAUUUAUUUUUAUUUUUUGGGGGGAUUUUGGAAUUAUGAAAGAAACCAAAUGACUAAAGUAAACAACCUUUGGUACAUGAACCUUGAGAAACAACACAUGAUUAAUUAGUACCACAAUUACUGCAUAAAGACAAACAAUCUUCGAUUGAGAAGCCAUUUUGGUUCAUGAACCUGCGCAGCUAUCUUACUAUGAUGAAAAGAUCAAUCGAAGAAUUAAUUAUACACAAGAUAAUUGUUUUUUUUAUGAAUGAAAACAUGUCCAUUUCUUUUCUCUUUUUUUUUUGUCUUCUUUUUGAGGGAAAUAAAAACUUUUGGUGAGAGGAUAGCCAUUGGAGCCUAGGAUGUUUUUUUAAAAUAAAAAAAUUAUGUGAGAUAGAAGCGUUCGAUUUCUUUUUUGCUAUAAAAGGUGCUAAUUAAAAACAAAAGUUUCCAAAAAAAUAUAUAAAAUUACAAUAUAAAAUAUUUAAAAAAUAAAAAAGAAUCAAUAAUAGUUCUCUUUUCCCCCUCAGCAAUGACUCGGAUUGGACGAGAAACAUUAAACCAACUGAGCUGACAUUCAUUGUCAAAUAAAAACUAAGGCGCCUAAGCUACUACCCCAGUGUCGCCACCCCUGUACUUAAACCCUAGAUAAAUACAGACAAUUAUGUCACUCUGGCUCGUUCAUUGCAUGCCGACACUUAAUAUAGGACUACGCGGGCGAGAGAUAAUAACACCCAAAAAAAAAAUCUAGCAUACGAACAAGUUGAUUUUCAAAGCAAAAUCAUAGGACUUGAUGACAAAAAUCCAUCAAUUAUAUAGGUAUCUUUGUAAGAAGAUAACUAGUUUGGACUGAAUAAUAUGGCCACAUUCAUUAUCAUUACAUCAACUUGUGAUUUCUAGGUUGUUGGGACCUCCCAAGUCCUAUCCCUAUUUAUGAAUAGACAACAUCACUUGGACCCUUUAACUUAGAUAGUUGUCUGAAUUAUUAAAUGUACAUUUUCAAAUUAACCAAAGUCCUCAACUAUAGUAAACCCUCUCAUAUCUAAAUUUUCAGACAAUAUACAAAUAGGGAAAUCACAAUAUGAUAAUCUAAUUAACGAGAUCGACCGUCGUUAAAUUUUAAACCCUAAACCCAAAAUCGAGGAUCUCGAUGGUGGGAAUCAUUGGGGCAAGUGCAAGUAGUUAAAUAAUUUAGGGUUGGAUGGGCAUGUACGUGCAAGGAUGGGGCAUUGGAUUCGACUAAUCCUAGAAACUGUGAGAACAUUAGUGUUUUGUAUGUAUAUGUUGGCAUGGUUCCAACAGUGGUGGAUAACCUGGGACUCCUAUGUCUUCCUCCCAUGCAAAGCUACCAUGUGAUUCAAGAUCACGACCUUCUAAAAUAUUACUAAUAAAGAUUCAAAUUAGCCACUAAUAAAAAAAAAUUAUCACUCUUAAUUACUUUUAUCACUCAGUCCAAGAUAUCAAGACCUUUUGAAAUAGUAAAGAUAAAAAUUAAUCACUAAUAUAAAAAAAAUAAUCACUCUUACUAUAUAUUUUACCACUCAGUUUACGAUCAAGAAUACUAAAAUUUAGUCUUGCAUUCGUCAAUUAAGGGCAACACAAUAUUUUGAGCUAGAAAGUAGCUAUUUUGAUCAUUUUUGGUCCUAAAUUAUGACUAUUUUUUUUUUAAUCUCUACAAUAUGAGAAAAUGGCUAUUUUCGUGUAUGAACUCCUUUUAGUUUCUUCUUAUUUUUUAAUUUUUGUAGUUGUAUGAUUAUUAAUGCAUGCUAGCUAAUGCUUAAAUCUGGAGUCGAAUAAUUAGGAGGAUAUUGUUGGUAUAAGACGAGGUAAACAUGAAUUUGAGAAACAAAAAACAGUAAGAAAUAAUAAAUUGAGAAGCCUCGACUCCAUUAAUCUAACAAAAUUAAAUGUAAUACGUAGUGAUUGCAUAUUACAUACUUAAAAAUAAAUGUUUAAUAAAUUAAACAGAAAAAAUAAAAUUAAUAAAUUAAAUAUUUGGCUUUAAACUUAAAAUAUAUAUAUAAGUGAAAUCAUUAAUUAUUACAUAUACAAUUAAUGAUAAAAUUAAAAUUAACCACACUUAUAAAGUCCUAACACUAACUCCUUAAUUAAAUCUCGUGCUGAAAAGAAGUGCACCAUUAUACUUGGGACGGAGGGAGUAUUAAUCUUUCAUUAUAGUAUAUAUUUAAAACUAAAGCACAAUAUUUUUUGUCACAAUAAUUUUAUUAUAUAUGAUCAAUACACACUAUAUAUGUAAUACGUAAUACGAAAUAUAAUGUUAGAUAUGUUGGGGUAUGUAAGGGCGGACAUAAAAACAAUUAGAGAAGGGUUGAUAUUUAAUAUGAUAGAUUUAGAAGAGCAAACCCUAAAGAAGCCAAACAUGUCCUUAAAUAUUAGCACGUAAUUAUUUCUUAGUUGUCUGAAUCACUGCCCCUCUUUUCCCCUACCCAAAACUUCAAUGUUAUGUCCCCUCCAUUUUCUCUCUCUCUCUCUCUCCAUAGGGUUUAUUUUGAAAAGCACGUAAUGUGUUACAUGUAUCCUAUAUAUAGAGCCCUUCAACAUAUGCAUUGAAAUAGUGAAACUUACAUUUAUAUUUCAUUAUUGGUUAUAUAUAGUAUUAAAAGUGUUGAUGGAACUCGAACUCGGACUUGCUCUCCCCAACCACAACCCUAUAAUCAUUCAAGACGUUGACUCGAACGUAUUAGAGACGGAAAAUCGCAGCCAAAAACGGGUGUUUCUCGAAGAUGGCGUCAAACUCGAGAGCACGACUUUGUCGUUGCUCGGCCGCCCGGAGGCGGAGGAUGGCCGCCCUCCGAAAUGGAGGAAACACCGCGUACUCGACGAGUAAGACUAAUUAGCUUCAAUUGCUUGAAUUUCUCCCUAUUGGUUGAAAAAGUGUCUUAUCAAUUGAACUGCGCUUAGUUAUUAUUAUUAUUUAUAUACUUCGCUUUUAAUGAUUAUUUUUCUUUAAUUUUAUUUGAACGAGCAGUACCGACGACGAUUGUCAAGAAAUUGAGGGGUGGUCGCCGACCGACUCGUCGCCGUCCCACCGCCGCCGACGUGGGGCGACGGUGAAAAAGUCAAUGCAUGUGAAGGUUAAGAUGGAAGGCGUGGCCAUAGGGAGGAAAGUCGAUCUUAGGGAUUUCGAUUCCUAUCAUGCUUUAACAAACACAUUGAUCGAUAUGUUUGCUAAAUGUAUGUCCUAACUAAAACUUUUUUUAUUUUUUCGUCGCUUUUCAACGACCAAAAUUCGUCGAAAUUUUAAAAUUAUCGUUUCAACGGAUUUUGUAAUCCGUUAGAAUAGGUAUGAUUCAAUGAGUUUGACUAUAAGGUGUGUAUAAAUGUGCAGAUAGUAAAAUUGAGAGAAAUGAAGAAGAUUACAUUUUAUUGUACUUAGACAAAGAUGGAGAUUGGAUGCUAGUUGGAGAUGUGGAAUGGGAGUAAGUAGUCAAAAAUUAAUAUUCACUUCUCUUACAUUAACAUAUAUAAUUAAUGUUCGUUUUGUUAAUUGCAGGGAGUUUGUUGAAUCUGUCCGGCGGGUCGAGAUACUGAAGAACAACAAUAAAAUGGGCUUUCGAUUAUUGUCACGUUAAACUCUAUAAAAUAGUUUAUAUAUCUCUUCGAAAACAUUCAAUCAGUGAAGAUCUAUUCUGUUAGUAGAUAGUUUUAAAGUUCAAUCUUGGUCGUGCACUCUUUUCCCAAGUCAAAAAUAAAAUAGCUUAUAUUAGUGAAGUAUUAGUCGAAGAAAAUCGUAUUUAAGAAUUCCAUGGUGUGUAGAAGGAAGUGAGAUUUCUAUUAGUGGUGUUCUUGUAAAUUGUAAUUACUAUAUAUUGCACCAAUCAAACCACCAUGAGGGUGUUCCCCCCCAACCCAAAAAAAAAAAAAAAAGAAGAAGACUUUUUUUGUGAGAAAAUUUUCAAUAUGAAAAGUAAUGUGUCACUAAAUUCCUAGAACAAAAAUCCAACAGCUUUUGUAUGGAUGUAGAGCACUUUAUAAAAGUAAUGCUCCAAUGAUUUUCUAGUAAAAAAUUCACUAAAAAUUUCAUUUCACUUUCCCACCUAUAUUUAAGUACAAGUAGUCUAACAUCACGGACUAUAUCAGAUUAUUAUAUAAUAUAAUUGAAAUUAAUUGUCUUAUUUUACUGUAGUUUCUGUUGUAGUCAUUGCUAUUCCUUGAAAAUGAAAGGUGCAAUUGGUUGUAAUUAAUUACAAAUUAUGAAAUUAAUUUACUUUAAGCCGGCAGCAAUAUCCUAAUUCCUAAACGAAUAUUACAACUUGGUUUUUGCAUAUAAAAAUAGUACUUAUUUUAUAAAUUAGGUUCCUAUCAAUUUAGAUUUUUAAUUUUACAUUAAUUUGAAUACAAUACUUAAAUGAUAUGAUCAAAUAUAAAGAAUAUAACAAUUGCAUGAAAAGCAACCCCAAAUUCUGCAAGAAAAGUCUAGUUUGGCAGCUUGUGUGAAUGCAGCUAUCAGAUUCUUGCAUUUGAAUAUUCUAUUAGGUCAAGCAGAAUUUAAGGAGUAAGAUAAUCAAUGAAUUCAAUUUUGCAGAUGCUAUGCAGAUGGAUUCUUCCAAAAUGCCCAAAUAUUACCCAAUUUAUAGCAAGCAAGAACUUCACCUUUUUUCAGCUCGGGACAGUGUGUGAUCUGUGUGUUUUUCUAGCUCCGUAAAAUGGUGUUUUUUAGCUUCUCUUUCACUGUAUUCUGGGUUCUUCAAAUUGUAGCUGCACAGCAAAAAACUGAGCUCGCUGAAGGUGUUUGUCGAAAUGCCUCUUAGAAAUAUUUACAUAGUAGUAAAACAUUUCAUUUAAUUUUUUUUUAUUUUUUUGGUUUUUUAAUAUUGUGUGAUCAGUGGAUGCUAUCAACAAGAUAAUUGAUCAUUGGAAUCUAAGGAGUAAGCUGAAUUUAAGCGAUGAUCCGUGUGUUGAAAACGCGAUUUGGGCUCCUGAUUCAGCUAAUCCAAGAAUUGCUUGUGACUGUGAUGGGACAGUUUGCCACAUUACACACUUGUUAGUGAAUUCUCAAUCUUCACUUUGUACAUGUGUUUCUCUAACUUCCAUUGAAGCUAAGAUCGAUCCUUUUUCGACUUGAUGCAGGAAAAUAUAUGCUUUGGACAUCUCUGGUGAACUUCCUCAAGAACUGUUCUUGCUGACAGAGUUGAUGGACUUGUAAUAAUAGAUUAAUGUAGUUUGAUGCUAAAAAAAAUAAUCAAUCUUUAUUGUUUCAAUCAGUUAAUUUGAUAUCUUUGAUCAUUUUAUAUGGUGAAGGAACUUGAAUCAGAAUGUGUUGAAUGGAUCCAUCCCACCAGAAAUUGGGCAGCUGUCCAAAAUGGAGUACUUGUUAGUGUCAAAACUAUUCAAUUGCAUAAUCUCUUGAUUUUCAAGAAUUUGAUAGAUAUGUUCAAUGUUGAAUAUGCAGGGCUCUUGGCAUUAACAAUUUCACGGGCUCGGUGCCUGCAGUGCUUGGCAAUCUCACCAGAUUGCGCUCUUUGUGAGUUUACAAGCUGAUGAUCUCUCUAUUGCUGUGGUGUUGCUUGCUCCUCGUCGUGAUUCACCCACCUUUUUUUUCUUGUGAUGCAGAAGUUUUGGUUCGAACAAUUUGCAGGGAAGCUUGCCUCGUGAGUUGGGAAAUUUGACCUUGUUAGAACAGCUGUGAGUAUUCAUCAUCUCUCACUUUUUUCUUACAGAUGUAUGUGUUGCUGUGUUGCGUCUUGUGAUGCUUCAGUCUCGUUUGAUGCUUCAGAUAUAUCGAUAGCAGCGGAUUGAGUGGACCAAUCCCACAAGAACUCUCAAAUCUCACAUCCCUCCAAAUAAUGUAUUUCUUCAUGCUUUUUUGUUGGGGUAGAUCAUUCUUUUAAGCUCGUUUACACCAUGCUCGAUUCUGGUAAAACCGUGUAAAUGAUAUUUUUGUUGCGUUUCAGAUGGAUGUCGGAUAAUGGUUUCACUGGAAAACUCCCUGAAUUCUUGGCCACUUUCACUGAACUCAAAGAUCUGUAUGCACUGCAGUUUCUCUUUUGCUUCCUUUCAUUGCUUCUUUUGCGAUUUGUUUCUGAAUCAUGCUUGUUCGCAGGAGAGUGGAAGGAACGAAUCUUGAGGGCCCGAUUCCCAAUAGUUUCAGUGCUCUAACCAAACUGGAAAACUUGUAAGAAAAUUUUCCACUAUGAAUCACAAGAAUGUCUUCUUAUCUUCCACUUGUUGUUUCACAUGCAUUCUGUUCAGGCGAAUUGGUGACCUUAGUGUUGGCGCGAGCGAAAGCUCUCUUGAUUUCCUAGAGAAUCUGACUAGUCUCUCCAUAUUGUAAGCUCUUGGAAUCCUCUCUCAUUUACUUUUUCUGUUUCUCACACUUCACUUGUGACAACAGAUCAUUGAGAAACUGUCAAAUCCGCGGCCCAAUUCCAGAACGGCUGAGCACUUUCCCCAACCUUACAUUCUUGUGAGUGCUGCGCGUGCGUGUAUAUGUGUGAAUGUUCGUAUCUUAUAUUUGAACGGGGUUGCCACGACAGGGACUUGAGCUUCAAUAAGCUGACGGGGCAGAUACCGGCUUCGUUCAAGGACUUUUCCUCACUCAAGUAUCUGUAAGUGAGCCAUUGAUUCUCAAAAAAUGUUCCAAAGUUGCAUACAUCUCUGAGAAAUUGAUUCCUCUUUCUUCAUUUACAGAUAUCUUGGAAGUAAUAACCUCAAUGGGGAUCUACCUUCUGAUAUAGGUUCAAAACUCAUUGCAUUGUAAGGCCAAAACUCACUUAUAUAUAUGGUUUCAUGUUGAUUCUUGAAAAUUAUGUCUACGUUUCGAACGAAUGCAGAGACGUAUCUUUCAAUCCUCUCACUGGAAAUAUCCCUCUUGAUUGGAGCCAUGUAUCCAUGUAAGCCAUCUCCAUUCCUUUGCAAACUUGCUCAUCA